RNAcentral lists this ribosomal RNA (253 nucleotides) under uncultured bacterium. RNAcentral describes it as "partial 16S ribosomal RNA". It matches the Rfam family "Bacterial small subunit ribosomal RNA", at positions 524 to 776 of the family's 1533-position model. The record is from RNAcentral.
UACGAAGGGGGCUAGCGUUGCUCGGAAUCACUGGGCGUAAAGGGUGCGUAGGCGGGUUUUUAAGUCAGGGGUGAAAUCCUGGAGCUCAACUCCAGAACUGCCUUUGAUACUGAAGAUCUCGAGUCCGGGAGAGGUGAGUGGAACUGCGAGUGUAGAGGUGAAAUUCGUAGAUAUUCGCAAGAACACCAGUGGCGAAGGCGGCUCACUGGCCCGGUACUGACGCUGAGGCACGAAAGCCAGGGGAGCAAACGGG